This is a long non-coding RNA of Magnolia sinica, 389 nucleotides long. RefSeq lists it as uncharacterized. The transcript is spliced from 2 exons. The record is from RefSeq and is a predicted model, not a curated record. Lineage: Eukaryota; Viridiplantae; Streptophyta; Magnoliopsida; Magnoliales; Magnoliaceae.
CAGAAUAUGAUGGAACUCCAGAGCUAUGGUUUGCCAUCAUGCUUUAUUGUCUCCAACUGCCUCCCUUUGGCAGCAAUGGCAACAAUCAGAUCAUCGAAUUUCUCAGUCUUCCCCAGCAAUACCUCAAUCUAUAACAAUGUUGACAAGGGAACAUGAUAGGCAACAACCCAAGUUGGGCUUACUCUUCUCAAUAGCCAGACCUUUUUUCUUCAGAAUCUCUGCAACUGUGAGGGCCGCUGUGAGCGUUGAGGUAGAAAAAACAAGCAAGUUGAGCUAACAUAAUGGUGAUAAUAAAUAACUUAAGAAUGCUAUUGAAUCUCAUAACCUUUAUAAAUGAUUUGAACCCAUUUAUUUGGUUCUGUUAAUCAUGUUAAUAACCUAUGAGGAUU